ACCAUCUUUUCCUUGGAGUUGCGCUACUGACCAAUGAGCACAUAGUGUAGCGAAUGAGGACAGUACUGCUAACACUUUUUUUUGAGACA
This 89-nucleotide small nuclear RNA is filed under the name Otolemur garnettii (small-eared galago). RNAcentral's name for it is "U4atac minor spliceosomal RNA (ENSOGAG00000022422.1)". Lineage: Eukaryota; Metazoa; Chordata; Mammalia; Primates; Galagidae. The record is from RNAcentral.